UGGGGAAUCUUCCGCAAUGGGCGCAAGCCUGACGGAGCAACGCCGCGUGAGUGAAGAAGGGUUUCGACUCGUAAAGCUCUGUUGUCGGGGACGAAUGUCAGGACUCAAAAUAUGGGUUCUGAAUGACGGUACCUGACGAGGAAGCCACGGCUAACUACGUGCCAGCAGCCGCGGUAAUACGUAGGUGGCGAGCGUUGUCCGGAAUUAUUGGGCGUAAAGGGAGCGCAGGCGGGAAGGUAAGUCUAUCUUAAAAGUGCGGGGCUCAACCCCGUGAGGGGAUGGAAACUAUCUUUCUUGAGUGCAGGAGAGGAAAGCGGAAUUCCUAGUGUAGCGGUGAAAUGCGUAGAUAUUAGGAGGAACACCAGUGGCGAAGGCGGCUUUCUGGACUGUAACUGACGCUGAGGCUCGAAAGCGUGGGGAGCGAACAGG
This 429-nucleotide ribosomal RNA is filed under the name uncultured bacterium. RNAcentral describes it as "bacterial SSU rRNA". It matches the Rfam family "Bacterial small subunit ribosomal RNA", at positions 355 to 776 of the family's 1533-position model. The record is from RNAcentral.